RNAcentral lists this ribosomal RNA (402 nucleotides) under uncultured Sphingopyxis sp. RNAcentral's name for it is "bacterial SSU rRNA". It matches the Rfam family "Bacterial small subunit ribosomal RNA", at positions 355 to 774 of the family's 1533-position model. Lineage: Bacteria; Pseudomonadati; Pseudomonadota; Alphaproteobacteria; Sphingomonadales; Sphingopyxidaceae. The record is from RNAcentral.
UGGGGAAUAUUGGACAAUGGGCGAAAGCCUGAUCCAGCAAUGCCGCGUGAGUGAUGAAGGCCCUAGGGUUGUAAAGCUCUUUUACCCGGGAUGAUAAUGACAGUACCGGGAGAAUAAGCUCCGGCUAACUCCGUGCCAGCAGCCGCGGUAAUACGGAGGGAGCUAGCGUUGUUCGGAAUUACUGGGCGUAAAGCGCGCGUAGGCGGUUUUUUAAGUCAGAGGUGAAAGCCCGGGGCUCAACCCCGGAAUAGCCUUUGAAACUGGAAGACUUGAAUCUUGGAGAGGUCAGUGGAAUUCCGAGUGUAGAGGUGAAAUUCGUAGAUAUUCGGAAGAACACCAGUGGCGAAGGCGACUGACUGGACAAGUAUUGACGCUGAGGUGCGAAAGCGUGGGGAGCAAACA